This 500-nucleotide ribosomal RNA is filed under the name uncultured bacterium. RNAcentral describes it as "partial 16S ribosomal RNA". It matches the Rfam family "Bacterial small subunit ribosomal RNA", at positions 30 to 523 of the family's 1533-position model. The record is from RNAcentral.
AUUGAACGCUGGCGGAAUGCUUUACACAUGCAAGUCGAACGGGAGCACGGACUUCGGUCUGGUGGCGAGUGGCGAACGGGUGAGUAAUGUAUCGGAACGUGCCCAGUCGUGGGGGAUAACGUAGUGAAAAUUACGCUAAUACCGCAUACGAUCUAUGGAUGAAAGCGGGGGACCGUAAGGCCUCGCGCGAUUGGAGCGGCCGAUAUCAGAUUAGGUAGUUGGUGGGGUAAAGGCUCACCAAGCCGACGAUCUGUAGCUGGUCUGAGGGGACGACCAGCCACACUGGAACUGAGAGACGGUCCAGACUCCUACGGGAGGCAGCAGUGGGGAAUUUUGGACAAUGGGCGCAAGCCUGAUCCAGCCAUUCCGCGUGCAGGAUGAAGGCCCUCGGGUUGUAAACUGCUUUUGUACGGAACGAAAAGGCUCUGGUUAAGACCUGGGGCUCAUGACGGUACCGUAAGAAUAAGCACCGGCUAACUACGUGCCAGCAGCCGCGGUAA